CCCAGCCUAGACCCCAUCAUCCCAGGGAGGGAGAAUUCAUGGCAGCUCUCCCAGUCAGGAAGUUCUUCCUCGUGUUCAGAUGGAAUCUCCUUUCUUGUAGUCAGUUGGGAAAAAGACGACAAACCCCAGCCUAGACCCCAUCAUCCCAGGGAGGGAGAAUUAAUGGCAGCUCUCCCAGUCAGGAAGUUCUUCCUCGUGUUCAGAUGGAAUCUCCUUUCUUGUAGUCAGUUGGAAAAAGGACGACAAACCCCAGCCUAGACCCCAUCAUCCCAGGGAGGGAGAAUUAAUGGCAGCUCUCCCAGUCAGGAAGUUCUUCCUCGUGUUCAGAUGGAAUCUCCUUUCUUGUAGUCAGUUGGAAAAAGGACGACAAACCCCAGCCUAGACCCCAUCAUCCCAGGGAGGGAGAAUUAAUGGCAGCUCUCCCAGUCAGGAAUUCUUCCUCGUGUUCAGAUGGAAUCUCAGUUGGAAACAGGACGACAAACCCCAGCCUAGACCCCAUCAUCCCAGGUAGGGAGUAGUGAACAAAAGGCAGCCUAGCUCUUGCACCAUCGACUCCUUCUUUUCAGUGCUGAACAGCUCUCACAGUUGGGAUUAUUUGGGUAUUUAUGAUGAACGAGUAAGUCACCUCCCUCGUUCCUUACACGCCGCCUGCAAUGUGAGGCCCGCCAUGCCACCCCGAUGCUCGGCCCAGCUUCCCAAGGCUCCAAAGCGCUCCUCACCCGCAACCUCAUGGAGUUGAGUAUUGAUUCCGCCUGCGUCUUCUGCCCCGCCAGCACAUGUUUUGUCCCUUUCCUUCAAGGCGCACUUGUUUUCACAAACAGCCGCAAAAGGCAUGUGUAUGCAAAAGGGAUUCUCCCCCCCCCACCCUAAAAAAAUGCCACAUCUCUAUUACAUGUAGGGAGAGAUGUGUUUUUUUUAUUUCUCCAGAAAGCAAUUUUUAGGCCUUAAAAAUAUUUUGCUUUGUUUUUUUAACUCUUUAAAUGCUGUUUAUAUUGACUUCUUCCUUGUUUAUUUCUCUCUCUCUCUCUCUCUUUUCAACUCCUGACCCUCGUUUGUCUCGAAUUGUUGUAUGAUAUUCAAUAUUGUAGCCUCAUUAAUUUUUCUUUUUAUCUUUUUUGCCAGCAUGUUAAUAACUCUGUAAAUAGGACUCUUAUAAGCUUAACAUCUCUCUUUUUUCUAUAUAAGAGCCCGGGUCACAUUUAGCUAGAUCCCUAGUAUUGAUUAUGAUUAUUAUUGCUUAUUAAUAAACAAGCGGGGGGAGCGUUUCUUUCCCUUUCUCUCUCCCCGCCCCAUCCAUCCCUUCUCAUUGCGGAAACAAAGAAAGGUGGGAGAAGAUGGGCUUCGUUUUCUCCUUGGUCCCAUCGGCCGUUUGCAACAUUUUUUAAAAAAAUGGGGGGAAAUUAAAAAAUUAAAAUAAUUGCUUUGUAUUUCUCUCUGUUGUGGAAGAAAACAUGAAUAAAGAUGUCUUUGCACCCUU
Molecule: non-coding RNA, 1477 nt
Organism: Anolis sagrei ordinatus
Lineage: Eukaryota; Metazoa; Chordata; Lepidosauria; Squamata; Anolidae
Source: RefSeq, a predicted model, not a curated record